Harmonia axyridis is the source of this 634-nucleotide long non-coding RNA. RefSeq lists it as uncharacterized. Lineage: Eukaryota; Metazoa; Arthropoda; Insecta; Coleoptera; Coccinellidae. The record is from RefSeq and is a predicted model, not a curated record. The transcript has 3 exons.
UUACCUCGAGAAUUAUUUACUUAACCUCAAAAAUUUUCAGUUGAUCCGUCGAACCUUAUUUUUGGUAAGAGAUUUAUUAUGUCGCAGUCAACUUUGAAAUCCAACAAAUAUUGUGUUCCUAACUGUGGAGAUAUGUAUAGUAAACGUCAUCGUUUUCGAAUGAAGAGAAGCAGCCAACAAUUUUCAAACUUUGGCUCGAAAAAGUUAGUUAUCCAUUGCUCAACUCUAAAACUCCUCAACAAAUUUGUAAGAAGUGAAAUUAGAUAGCCUUAAAGGAAUUUGACAACUGCUAUCCCUGAAUUAUUUCUUCCUGGAUCUUCAAAUCAAGGGGAAGAUGGAGAAGUUCAUGACACUGAAGGAAUACAUCUCCAAAGUGAUGUUGAGAGGGAAGUAUCAACAGAGACUUUGAAGAAUUUUAAGCACCCUCAGAAAACUUCAAUAAUAUAUAGAAAAAGAUAUCGAGGACAACAAUUAAUUGACACUAGAGGCUGUGGGCACUGCAGAGCUGAUCAUUUUUAUGGAUAAGCUGUUUGAUAGUCUGAAUAUGCAAUUGUGAAGGACACAUUAAAAAUUUGGCAUACUAGAAAUAUUUAAAAAAAUGUAAAAUUUUAAAUAGAUGAUUUUUUUAUAUGAA